GAGACCAAUUUAGGUUCAACAUUAUCGGGGAUGGGCCAGGGGAAGGGGGGAAAUUUUCUAAAUAAUUAGCCAUCUCCAAAAGGGGAUCAGGCUGCCUCCAAGGGGGCAUGUUUCUCCAUAAUGACAAUCUUCUGGCAUCGACUGGAAGACCCAGCUCCUGGGGAUGUGAUAAUGGAGACUACUUUCAGAAAACUACAUGGCAGCUGGACGGUGCUGUGAAUAGGGUGCCAGACCUAGAGGCAGGAAGACUCAUCUUCAUGAAUUCAAAUCUGGCCUGA
RNAcentral lists this long non-coding RNA (278 nucleotides) under Monodelphis domestica (gray short-tailed opossum). RNAcentral describes it as "lncRNA (ENSMODG00000040684.1)". Lineage: Eukaryota; Metazoa; Chordata; Mammalia; Didelphimorphia; Didelphidae. The record is from RNAcentral.